CGGGGGGCUGCAGUGGGGAAUAUUGGACAAUGGGCGCAAGCCUGAUCCAGCCAUGCCGCGUGAGUGAUGAAGGCCUUAGGGUUGUAAAGCUCUUUCAGUGGGGACGAUAAUGACGGUACCCACAGAAGAAGCCCCGGCUAACUUCGUGCCAGCAGCCGCGGUAAUACGAAGGGGGCUAGCGUUGUUCGGAUUUACUGGGCGUAAAGCGCACGUAGGCGGAUCGUUAAGUCGGGGGUGAAAUCCUGGAGCUCAACUCCAGAACUGCCUUCGAUACUGGCGAUCUUGAGUCCGGAAGAGGUGAGUGGAACUCCUAGUGUAGAGGUGGAAUUCGUAGAUAUUAGGAAGAACACCAGUGGCGAAGGCGGCUCACUGGUCCGGUACUGACGCUGAGGUGCGAAAGCGUGGGGAGCAAACAGGAUUAGAUACCCGAGUAGUC
This 436-nucleotide ribosomal RNA is filed under the name uncultured Devosia sp. Its description in RNAcentral is "bacterial SSU rRNA". It matches the Rfam family "Bacterial small subunit ribosomal RNA", at positions 342 to 795 of the family's 1533-position model. Lineage: Bacteria; Pseudomonadati; Pseudomonadota; Alphaproteobacteria; Hyphomicrobiales; Devosiaceae. The record is from RNAcentral.